Molecule: unclassified non-coding RNA, 371 nt
Filed under: Hevea brasiliensis (rubber tree)
Lineage: Eukaryota; Viridiplantae; Streptophyta; Magnoliopsida; Malpighiales; Euphorbiaceae
Source: RNAcentral
GUGAGAUAUUGGUAGAAAUCAUGAAUGGGAAGUUAAAGGAUACUAAUGAGGUUUCCGAUUUAAAGAAAAUCUUGCUUAGACCCCAUCAUAUACGUGAGAUAUAAUAUUUAUGAUGGAAUUUAUAUAUAAAAUAAGUAAAAUUAUUAAUUAUUUAUCUUGAAUUCAUAAUAAACAAACUUUAAAUUUUUUUUUAUUAGAAUCUAAAAGGGUAGAUUGAAUCUGCCUAUAUUCACAUUAUAAUAUAUAUUUUAAAAAAUAAAACUUUUUAUUGCUAAGUGUUAUAAUACAUUUUUAUGUAAAAAAAUUUAAUUAACUGCUCAAUUACUUACCUGUGAACCAUCUCCAUUAUUGCUAGUCUGGUCUUCCUAAAU